GACGAACGCUGGCGGCGUGCUUAACACAUGCAAGUCGAACGAUGAAGAAAAGAAUCGAAGCUUCGGCAGAAAUUCAUUUCGGAUUAGUGGCAGACGGGUGAGUAACGCGUGAGCAACCUACCUCUUACAAAGGGAUAGCCUCGGGAAACCGGGAUUAAUACCAUAUAACAUUGCGACGAAGCAUUUCGAUGCAAUCAAAGCUACGGCGGUAAGAGAUGGGCUCGCGUCCCAUUAACCGGAUGGUGAGGUAACGGCUCACCAUAGUGACGAUGGGUAACCGGGAUGGGAGGGUGAACGGUCACACUGGAACUGAGACACGGUCCAGACUCCUACGGGAGGCAGCAGUGGGGAAUAUUGCAGAAUGGAGGGAACUCUGAUGCAGCGACGCCGCGUGAGUGAUGAAGGAAUUCGUAUCGUAAAACUCUGUUCUAUGGGAAGAAAAGGACUGUACCAUAGGAGAAAGCUCCGGCUAAAUACGUG
RNAcentral lists this ribosomal RNA (480 nucleotides) under uncultured bacterium. RNAcentral describes it as "partial 16S ribosomal RNA". It matches the Rfam family "Bacterial small subunit ribosomal RNA", at positions 28 to 507 of the family's 1533-position model. The record is from RNAcentral.